Molecule: non-coding RNA, 25 nt
Filed under: Mus musculus (house mouse)
Lineage: Eukaryota; Metazoa; Chordata; Mammalia; Rodentia; Muridae
Source: RNAcentral
UACGUAAGUUGUGCUGGAAUCUGAG